GUGAGUCAUCGAAUCUUUGAAAAGAUAUAGCGCUCUUUGGUAUUUCAAAGAGUAUGUUUGUUCAACACCAGUCUUUACGAUCGGCGAAGGGUUGCUUGAAAUGCAGAUGCAGCUGGACAUUCUCCUAAGCUAAAAGCAUAUUUAUUUAGUCCCGUCAAACAGAUUAUUACUUCUGCUGCAUAUAAUGUAAUGGGAGUCUGGCCGUUUUGGCUGACUGAUGCAGGAUUUCACAAGGGUCGACAAUGAUGCUUGUAAAACUCAAUCUCAAAUCAAACAAGAUUACCCGCUGAACUUGAGCAU
Molecule: unclassified non-coding RNA, 300 nt
Filed under: uncultured Mortierella
Lineage: Eukaryota; Fungi; Mortierellomycota; Mortierellomycetes; Mortierellales; Mortierellaceae
Description: sequence contains 5.8S rRNA gene, ITS2
Source: RNAcentral